This 77-nucleotide transfer RNA is filed under the name Candidatus Abyssobacteria bacterium SURF_17. RNAcentral describes it as "Candidatus Abyssubacteria bacterium SURF_17 tRNA-Asp". It matches the Rfam family "tRNA". From Rfam's summary of the family: Transfer RNA (tRNA) molecules are approximately 80 nucleotides in length. Their secondary structure includes four short double-helical elements and three loops (D, anti-codon, and T loops). The record is from RNAcentral. Lineage: Bacteria; Pseudomonadati; Candidatus Hydrogenedentota; Candidatus Abyssobacteria.
GGGGGCGUAGUUCAGUUGGUUAGAACGCCGGCCUGUCAAGCCGGAGGUCGCGAGUUCAAGUCUCGUCGCUCCCGCCU